RNAcentral lists this ribosomal RNA (457 nucleotides) under uncultured Thiobacillus sp. RNAcentral's name for it is "bacterial SSU rRNA". It matches the Rfam family "Bacterial small subunit ribosomal RNA", at positions 919 to 1382 of the family's 1533-position model. Lineage: Bacteria; Pseudomonadati; Pseudomonadota; Betaproteobacteria; Nitrosomonadales; Thiobacillaceae. The record is from RNAcentral.
ACCCGCACAAGCGGUGGAUGAUGUGGAUUAAUUCGAUGCAACGCGAAAACCUUACCUACCCUUGACAUGUCCGGAAUCCUGCAGAGAUGCGGGAGUGCCGAAAGGGAAUCGGAACACAGGUGCUGCAUGGCUGUCGUCAGCUCGUGUCGUGAGAUGUUGGGUUAAGUCCCGCAACGAGCGCAACCCUUAUCAUUAGUUGCCACGCAAGGGCACUCUAAUGAGACUGCCGGUGACAAACCGGAGGAAGGUGGGGAUGACGUCAAGUCCUCAUGGCCCUUAUGGGUAGGGCUUCACACGUCAUACAAUGGUCGGUACAGAGGGUUGCCAAGCCGCGAGGUGGAGCCAAUCCCAGAAAGCCGAUCGUAGUCCGGAUUGUUCUCUGCAACUCGAGAGCAUGAAGUCGGAAUCGCUAGUAAUCGCGGAUCAGCAUGUCGCGGUGAAUACGUUCCCGGGUCUU